RNAcentral lists this long non-coding RNA (10201 nucleotides) under Triticum aestivum (bread wheat). RNAcentral's name for it is "long non-coding RNA (TAES_LNC023415)". The record is from RNAcentral. Lineage: Eukaryota; Viridiplantae; Streptophyta; Magnoliopsida; Poales; Poaceae.
AUACAAACUGAAUAAUUAUAAGUAACAAUAUGAUAUCUAGUAAAAAUAAAAACACAUAUGAUUUAUUGUGUUAGAGUGUAGUAGUAGUAGUGCUGUAUUGCAUAGUUGUUAGAUGUAACAAGCGCGAACAUGUAGAGAUGUAGUUUUGGAAGGACUACAGAGAGAAAAGCGUAAUACGGCCACCGAACUUCAGAAUAAGCUGAUUACGGUCACUAUAUACAUUUUGCGGUGAUUAUACGGUCACUUGCUCACAGUUCAGCAUUGGAUUUCACUCUGUUGACCGGCCAAAUAGUCUGUGUGGCGCCAUAUUGACUAGUUAAAUUGACCAUGUUCCUUGUGGGUCCCACCUGUCAGUUCGCAUAGGCAAAAGGUCAGAUAAACACAAAUUUAUGCAUGCGCGACAAGGCUCCAACCCAUGCUGUAACGCCCUCGAUGCGACUAUAUCUCCCACGUGUCGAAGCACAACUUAGAGGCAUAACCGCAUUGAAAGCAAUGUCGCAAGUGAGGUAAUCUUCACACAACCCAUAUAAUACAUAGGGGAAAGAGUAACAUAGUUGGCUUAAAAUCGCCACUUCACACAAUUACAUGAAUAAAGCAUUACAUCAUACAAAUACAAUCAAGGUCUGACUACGGAACCUAAAUAAAAGAAGAACCCCAAAAGUGACACGGCCCCCGAUGGACCCCAACUGGGCUCCACUACUGAUCAACUAAAACGAAACAACACAAAGGACAAGAUCUUCAUCGAGCUCCUCCUGAGCUUGGUUGCGUCACCUGCUCGGUAACAUCGGCACCUGCAAACUAGUUUUUGAAGUAUCUGUGAGCCACAGGGACUCAGCAAUCUCGCACCCUCGCGAUCAAGACUAUUUAAGCUUAUGGGUAAGGUAAAAGUAUGAGGUGGAGCUUCAGCAAGCGACUAUCAUAUAUGGUGGCUAACAUACGCAAAAGAGAGCGAGAAGAGAAGGCAAAGCACGGUCGAUAAAAGUAUGAUCAAGAAGUGAUCCUAGACAACCUACGUCAAGCAUUACUCCAACACCGUGUUCACUUCCCGGACUCCGCCGAAAAGAGAUCAUCACGGUUACACACGCGGUUGAUGCAUUUUAAUUAAGGUUAACUUCAGGUUUUCUACAACCGGAUAUUAACAAAUUCCCAUCUGCCCAUAACCGCGGGCACGGCUUUCGAAUCUCAAAUCCCUACAGGGGUGUCCCAACUUAGCCCAUCACAAGCUCUCACGGUCAACGAAGGAAUAGACCUCCUCCCGAGACAUUCCGAUCAGACUCGGUAUCCCGGUUCUACAAGGCAUUUCGACAGGGUAAAACUAAACCAGCAACACCGCCCGAAUGUGCCGACAAAUCCCGAUAGGAGCUGCACAUAUCUCUUUCUUAGGGCACACCGGAUCGUCCAAACUUCUGGUAGGCCAGCCCAGAGUUGCCCCUGGUGGCCACCGGCGGCUGACAAGUUGGACCAACACUUAGAGGAGCACUGGCCCGGGGGGUAAAAUAAUGAUGACCCUCACGAGCGUGACUCCCAAGGGAAAAGAAAAGGCUAGGUGGCAAAUGGUAAAACCAAUGUUGGGCAUUGUUGGAGGAGCUUUACUUAAGGUGAACUGUCAAGGGGUUCCCAUAAUAGCCCAACCGCGUAAGGAACGCAAAAUCCGGGAACAUAACACCGAUAUGACGGAAACUAGGGCGGCAAGAGUGGAACAAAACACCAGGCAUAAGGCCGAGCCUUCCACCCUUUACCAAGUAUAUAGAUGCAUUAAUUAAAUAAGAUAUAUUGUGAUAUCCCAACAAGUAAACUUGUUCCAACAAGGAACAACAUCUCCAUGUUCCAACAAGGAACAAAACUUCAAUCUUCACCUGCAACUAACAACGCUAUAAGAGGGGCUGAGCAAAAGGGUAACAUAGCUAAACAACGGUUUGCUAGGACAAGGUGGGUUAGAGGCUUGGUUCAACAAUAUGGGAGGCAUGAUAAGCAAGUGGUAGGUAUCGCAGCAUAGGCAUAGCAAAAGAGCGAGCAAACUAGCAUAUCAAAGAUAGUAGUGAUUUCGAGGGUAUGAUCAUCUUGCCUGAGAUCCCGCAAGAAAGAAGAACGAGUCCAUGAAGAAGACAAACGGACGUAGUCGAACGGGUCCUCACAAACGCGACGUUAACGGAACCAACCCGAAGAAGCAACACCGGAAGGAAGCACACAAGAUUGUAAACAACCCUACAUGAACAUGGCAUAAUGCACAAUCAAGUAUGAUGCAUGUCCGGUUUAAUGAAGCAUGGCAUGGCAAAAGUGCACAAGCAAUCCUACAAAUUAAGUGGAGAUCAAUAUGCAACGAGUUGUCUAUUGACGAAACACCACAACAAGUUAUUUAGUUCAAUCUCGUUUAUGUACCCAACAAUAUUAAAUGUUGUUAAACAUGGCAAGAGGUGGAGCAAAGUAAAACUACAUAUCUAGUCAAGUUUAAAUGAGGCCGGAAGCAACGAACAACAAAUCCAGAAACUCCUCAUGUGCAUAUAUUAGGUUAGGUCCCGUUCUUCCCUAAACCAUAUUUUAGAGUUUGUAAACAUGCAAAGCAAGUGCACCAUGAUAAACUAGGCAAAAUUCUACCCCAUUUACAUACAAAGUUUAUUUAAUUCGGAGCUACGGUUAAAUAGUUAUGAUUUAAAGUAUUUUAACAUGUUAAAAGAGCAAAAUAAAGCAACCAUCAUUUUAAACAUGUCAAACAUGAUUGAAAGUUGGAUAUUGUUAAACUAGAUGAAAAUCUAGUCGUGAUACAUAUAUGACAUGUUUUAUUUGGAUGCAUGUUUCAAAUGUUAUUAGCAGUUUAACAUAGGGGCAGUUCUGUAAAUAUGCAGUGCACUGGUUAAAUAGAAAAAACAUUCAGCGAAAAAAAACGUGUCUCGGGCCGAAUCUGUCUAGCCCAAAUAGCAAUAAAAAAAGGAGGCACUGGGGAGGCCUCACCCAUGGGCUUUGGCCCAGUUAAGUGGAAGAAGGAUGGCUGGGCGAGGAGGAGUGCGCUGGGCCAGCAAAGAAGCAGGCUGGGCCUGGCGCUUGCCUCGCUUGGUCAACGCGAGCCGACCUGCUCGUUGCUGCUACUCGAUGCAGCCGACGGCGACGCGGAUGGAAGAAGAGGCGCGUUACACGGGCUGGGACCAGUGGGCACGGCGGAUUCGGGCAGUACGAGGGUCGGGGCGCUGGUUCCCGGCGACGAGAAACUCUGGCGAUGGCACUGCUCGAAGAAGAAGGUGAUGCCAUGUGCAGCAGCGGUUCCCUGUGGAAGAAAAACAGGGAGGAGACAUUCAGAGAAGAAGAUAGCAGAGAAGGAGAAACAAUCCGGGCACGGCCUUGGCGCUGGUAUUGGUCGCCGGCGACGGGGUCCUUCCAGGUGCGGGCGGUGGACGGAGAAGCUCCAGCGGUGGCGCUCGCUGGCAUGGUGGUGAGGCAGCAGAUCGAACGAAGGAGGAGCUCUGCUCGGGCCAGAGGAAAGGGACGGCGCGAUGCAGUUAUUUGAAGCAGAGAACCAGCGGCACUGGCGGGACUUGGGAACGAGCUUGCUCUGGCGAGGGUACAGAGGUCCAUGGUGCUCGGGAGGAGUCGUGCUGCCUCCGGUGAGCUGCUGGUCGCGGUGGCGCGUGGAAGCUGGUGUUGCGGGCUUGAGGAGAAGCAGAGGAGGCCGCAACUCGAGGUGGACGGCGCUGGUUACCGGCGACGAGGCAGGGCUCGGUGAGCGGGACGAAGCAGAGCAGGAGGGUGGUUUGAAGAACUCGGGGAUGAGGAUGUGGCCUGGAUCUCAAGCUGGAUCGAGCGCCGGCUGGAUGCGGGAGGUGGUCGGAGGCUGCGGCGGUGGUUGGUUGGGUGGAGAAAACGAUGAGGAUUUUUGGAUCGGGAGGAGAUCCCGAGGAAGAAGGUAGGUAGGUCGGCUGGCGGCGGAGAGGGGAUGGAUGGAUUGGACUAGGGUUUGAUCCGAAUAUAUAUCCCGAGUGGAUUUGGGUAGGGUCGCCUGAAUCCCUCCGAUCAUAAUCGGACGGUCAGGAAAAAUAAUCUAGGGAGUCCAAUAAACAAAACGGAGAUGUUUUGUAGACGUUUGGUGAUGAUCUGGAUCCAAUGGUGGCGACACUCCGGGUCAGGAUCGGGACAACUUUCGGACGCGUGCGAGGGGAGGUCCGUGAGCUGACGAGAGAGGUUGGGUUGGUCCUGGCGGUGGGUGGUGAGCUGUGUAGACGGUCUCGAGCUGAGAGAAGAGAAGAGAGGGAGGCCCGGGACUAUUUCCGGAGACUGAAAAUGUCCGACGUUAAACCGGCUACUAUUGCCGCUAUAUUUAACGGUUGGGCUAUCAAACGAGCUCCGAAUGCGAUGAAACUUGGCAGGCGACCUACUAACAAAAAAACAACACCGCAUGCCAACUUUCACCCCACUCUGAGAACAUUUUCCGACCACUUAUAAAAUACUAUUUCGGACAUGCCUCGGGCGCGUGCAAGUGUGUCUGGGCUCAGAACGAACAACGGAAGGAACGAGGAGAACCCGGACGAAUGCAAGUUUUAAACAUGAUGAUGCAAUGCACAUGAUGGCAUGAUAAGAAAUGCAUGACACGCAAGCAAAGACAAGGAAACAACAGCGAAUAACUGGAGGACACCUGGCACAUCGGUCUCGGGGCGUUACAACACUCCACUACUACGAGAGGAUCUCGUCCCGAGAUCUAGAAUGGCACCGGAGGGAAAAACGGAAGAGAAAGAAAAGAGGUAAAACUAAGUUGCUUCUUUGACAAACGAGUGAAACCACGAACCUUGAGAGGUUGAACAAAUUGAAAGAAAGAAAGAACACAACAGAGUUGAACGAAUUUGAGAGCACUCCAAUAGAAAAGAGAAACAAGGAACAUUACUAGAACCUUGUAGAUUGAAAGACAUAAGAAAAGGGAUUGCAAUGGACAAGAAGUAUAAGCAAGCACUCUGGUUGAAAGGAGAUGUACAAGGAACGAUAAGGAUCAAUUACGACAACACUCCAGUUGGAAAUGGAAGGUAAGAAUAUGAAGUUGGCAAGAUGAAAGCACUUGGAUGAGACUCCGGUUAGAAGAGGAAUGAUAGACACAAGACUCCGGUUAAAACAAAAUAUGGAAGGAAUAAGAAUGAUGUAAUUUGGGCAGCACUCCGACUGUAAAUGGAAAGAAUUCAGCAUGAACAAGACAAAACAAGAUGAUGGGUCGAAGAGAGAAACAUCACAAUGCCUCCGGAACGAAAGAAUAGAAGUUGGACCGUCGGAACAAAAGAACGAAGAAUAAAACACCAUUUUCUACCUCAAGUGAGCUAGAAAGCAUCUUGAAGAGAAGGGUCGAACGUAGUUGUUGGGAAAAACCCAACAACGAAAAGAGUAAGCUUGUUGUGGGCUUAAGAAGAACAUCUCAAAACUACGAGGUGAAAUUCUGCCACUAAUGGAAACGACAAAUUGGAUUGAUAUCAACAAGGAAACGAGAAACUUAUACUGCCGGGAGGAUAAAAGAACUUGGGUCAAUAAUAAGCACCAUAAUAGCAACAAUCCUUAGCGAAGGCUUUAGGUGGAUUAUAACCCAAGAUAACUCCAUGGAAGCAAAUCAUGGGUUUAAAAUACCUCAUUCCUAACAACAUGUGAAUCAUGAAACAUGAACUCAAAUUAUCAAGAAUGACAUAAUACCACCUCUGAUGAUACAGUAGAGAGAAUUGCGCUCUGGAUUGCAAGAUGAAGAAAUACUUGAGCUCCUUAGCCAAGAAUCACAAUGAACACUUUGAGAAGGGAUAUAAAUCCUUGAUGAACCAACAUGUAGAACAUUCAUGAAGAACUCCGGUAAUAAAAGAAUGAUCCAAAAUAAUUGAAUGACGAAAAGAAUAAGAUUGAAGACUUGUAAUGAUUUAAAUAGAUAUCUCCGUGAAGAUAUAAUUGAAAAAGGUUGGAACUCCGGGGAAGAAAAGAUGAAACAAACGAAACUGAGGAUUUGAUAAGCCUUUGAAAUAAGGAAUUAAUUACUUGGAUGAACAAGAAUAAGAAUUACGUUAUGCGUAUCCUUCAACAAUCUAAUUGCUUACGAGCAACGGAUUUGACAUAUUACUUAUUCUCGUAGAAAAUAUUUAAGAGAGAUAUAACAUAAUCUUGAGAACGUCUCCAACGAACCACCAAUAGGAUUGGAACAACAAAUGAAUUGAUAUGAUGAACAAGGAAGAGAGAUCUUGAAAGAACCACCGUAAGAAUUGAAAAUGCUCGAAGUAGGGGUGCAUCACCGGUAAGAAUUAGCAAAUGAACGAAGGUGCUUGAGACAAACUAGAUACAUGAGAACGAAGAGGUCAAGAACUGAUUACAGGAUAUUCGAUUGAUGCGCCGGCAAGAUAGGAGAAUGAUAACUGACAGCUGAGAAUGAAUAAACCUGAAUUGAUGGACUCCGGAUAACAAACUGAGAAAACUCUUGAAUAUCUCCUGAUGGGUAAAAAAGAUUCUCACAAUCGAAAACAAUUAUGAGAGGAUGGCAACAAGCUAGCACCAUGAAUCUUGAAGAGAAUAGAGCAAGAUUAAAGAGAAACUCUUCUUCGGUCUUCAAAUGAUGAGAAUGACAACAAGAAACACCACCAAGAAUUAUUGAGGCACACCGGAAGAAUCAAAAGCGAAGAGGUUGAGCCAACUAUGAAAAGAAUUUGAAAGAUCUUGCAGAAAAGUAUUUGACUGAUGAUAACUCAUCCUUACAUCAAACUUGGAGAAGAAUUUAGGAUAGCUCCGGGAAAAUAGAAGAGUCAGGUAAGAUCCUGGGAAAAGACCUGUGGGUUAGGGCCCACUCAAAAUAAGCACCAUUGAAAUGAUUUAAAAGAGAGGUUGCACCGGUUGAAUUAAAUGACUUGAAUGAGAUAACAACCUCGAGAUAUCUUCUGCACUCCGAAACAAAAGAAUAGCGAGGAGUGGAUGAUUAAGAGGUGCACCGGUAUGAGAAGGUAUUUGAAACGAGGAAAAAGAAUAUGAUCAACAAAACUUGACUUGAAACCACCGGAGAUGAAAAGAAUGAAGAAUGACGAACUAGAAGCUCCAUUAGAAUCUUCAUGAGAAUCACUGGAUAAGAAUUUUGAUAGAAAAGGAUGGAGAGACUUCACAAAAAAUAAAAGGAUACUUGAUUAAAACAUCUUAGUCCUCGAAGAAACAAGGGAGGGGGGCGGGACAACAAAGACAACUUCGGAUGGAUGAACGAACACCGUUGAGAGAGCUUGAGUUGAUCUUGCGGAUGUUGAAAUGAUCGGAUCCACUUGAAGAGAAACACGCCGGUUGAAAGGAGUGAUAUGACACACUCGAUUAUCGAGAAGGAUUAGUAUCCACAUAGGAAUAUGAGAACACCGUUUAGAAAAGGUAUGGAAUCAUCACUUGACAUUGAAGCAACUCGAAUACCACAACUCAAAACAAAACAAAGGAUUGGCUUGCAGAAUAAGCCGGAACAAACAUAUGAUAGAGAUUUCGUCCGAAGUUUUCGUGGUGGGGCCUACACGGGCUCGAUCAUACAACACCAUCAUGUACAAGGCAGUGCACAUGACAUACGAAGCGUCUCCGAGUCGGCAUAGCCAAGGACUCUUUAAGACACAACGAGACCACUGUAAAACCAACCGUGAAUAGGCGGACCACUAGACGUUGAACCCCAAUUUCAUAUCAUACAUCCGUCGGAAGGAUAUCCUAAGAGCUACAUGAAUUUCCACUUAUAAACUCCCGAAAUUUUCCGGUUAUGCAAUCAGGUGUUGGGGAUACAGGGGAAGCAUAAUAUCUCACCCAAAACUAACAAAUCCUACAUCUAGCUGUAUCCAUCCUUCAACACAUAACCAAAAAACCUUCGGAAAUCAUCUACCUCAACCUUCGAAAAGCAUCCGUUAUACGAGUUAUGGCGAUACUCCCGAACUCCCGCCCCAGUACUGGGUGGCGUCGAGGUUAUCUCACCAACGAACUGCAUAAAAGAGAUUUUCGAUGUCGGCGUACUAGACUCAGGUAUUCCAGAACUGCAACGAUAAAAUUAUGAUGACAACACCUCAGAGCUCAACUCCCCGGGACACUUCCACAAAACCCCUGACAGGAGGCACCAAGACAAUGUUCUCGUCACAAAACCAUCGGAACGAUUCCAAGAUACCCGCGUGAUCCUAAAAUUUUUUUAGUGAAAUUUGAGAAGAGAAGAGUCAAAACUCUAUGUCAGGAUGCCUUACCAGAGCGAUGAGGAGACUGGGAAGUAAAAAAGAAUUCCUAAACUCUCCGAUAUAUAAUUCCUAAAUGACUCAAAACAUCUUUCUAGACACAACUCGGCCACUAAAAACGAUCAAGCAAUGGGGCUCCUAAGGUCGGGGAAGGCUCUGAUACCAACUUGUAAUGCCCUCGAUGCGGCUAUAUCUCCCACGUGUCGAAGCACGACUUAGAGGCAUAACCGCAUUGAAAGCAAUGUCGCAAGUGAGGUAAUCUUCACACAACCCAUGUAAUACAUAAGGGAAAGAGUAACAUAGUUGGCUUACAAUCGCCACUUCACACAAUUACAUGAAUAAAGCAUUACAUCAUACAAAUACAAUCAAGGUCCGACUACGGAACCUAAAUAAAAGAAGAACCCCAAAAGCGACACGGUCCCCGAUGGACCCCAACUGGGCUCCACUACUGAUCAACUAAAACGAAACAACACAAAGGACAAGAUCUUCAUCGAGCUCCUCCUGAGCUUGGUUGCGUCACCUGCUCGGUAACAUCGGCACCUGCAAAUAGGUUUUUGAAGUAUCUGUGAGCCACAGGGACUCAGCAAUCUCGCACCCUUGCGAUCAAGACUAUUUAAGCUUAUGGGUAAGGUAAAAGUAUGAGGUGGAGCUUCAGCAAGCGACUAUCAUAUAUGGUGGCUAACAUACGCAAAAGAGAGCGAGAAGAGAAGGCAAAGCACGGUCGAUAAAAGUAUGAUCAAGAAGUGAUCCUAGACAACCUACGUCAAGCAUUACUCCAACACCGUGUUCACUUCCCGGACUCCGCCGGAAAGAGAUCAUCACGGUUACACACGCGGUUGAUGCAUUUUAAUUAAGGUCAACUUCAGGUUUUCUACAACCGGAUAUUAACAAAUUCCCAUCUGCCCAUAUCCGCGGGCACGGCUUUCGAAAGUUCAAAUCCCUGCAGGGGUGUCCCAACUUAGCCCAUCACAAGCUCUCACGGUCAACGAAGGAAUAGACCUCCUCCCGAGACAUUCCGAUCAGACUCGGUAUCCCGGUUCUACAAGGCAUUUCGACAGGGUAAAACUAAACCAGCAACACCGCCCGAAUGUGCCGACAAAUCCCGAUAGGAGCUGCACAUAUCUCUUUCUCAGGGCACACCGGAUCGUCCAAUCUUCCGGUAGGCCAGCCCAGAGUUGUCCCUGGUGGCCACCGGCGGCUGACAAGUUGGACCAACACUCAGAGGAGCAUUGGCCCGGGGGGUAAAUAAUGAUGACCCUCACGAGCGCGACUCCCAAGGGAAAAGAAAAGGCUAGGUGGCAAAUGGUAAAACCAAUGUUGGGCAUUGCUGGAGGAGCUUUACUUAAGGUGAACUGUCAAGGGGUUCCCAUAAUAGCCCAACCGCGUAAGGAACGCAAAAUCUGGGAAAAUAACACCGAUAUGACGGAAACUAGGGCGGCAAGAGUGGAACAAAACACCAGGCAUAAGGCCGAGCCUUCCACCCUUUACCAAGUAUAUAGAUGCAUUAAUUAAAUAAGAUAUAUUGUGAUAUCCCAACAAGUAAACUUGUUCCAACAAGGAACAACAUCUCCAUGUUCCAACAAGGAACAAAACUUCAAUCUUCACCUGCAACUAACAACGCUAUAAGAGGGGCUGAGCAAAGUGGUAACAUAGCCAAACAAUGGUUUGCUAGGACAAGGUGGGUUAGAGGCUUGGUUCAACAAUAUGGGAGGCAUGAUAAGCAAGUGGUAGGUAUCACAGCAUAGGCAUAGCAAAAGAGCGAGCAAACUAGCAUGGCAAUGAUAGUAGUGAUUUCGAGGGUAUGAUCAUCUUGCCUGAGAUCCCGCAAGAAAGAAGAACGAGUCCAUGAAGAAGACAAAUGGACGUAGUCGAACGGGUCCUCACAAACGCGACGUUAAUGGAACCAACCCGAAGAAGCAACACCGGAAAGAAGCACACAAGAUUGUAAACAACCCGACAUGAACAUGGCAUGAUGCACAAUCAAGUAUGAUGCAUGUCCGGUUUAAUGAAGCAUGGCAUGGCAAAAGUGCACAAGCAAU